AUUCUUGAAAUUCGAUUCAAUUUGCUAAUAUGCUGUUACAGAUAUAUAAACACUUUUUAAAUACUUGGAUGGAUAAAUAUUUAUAUUUUUAUCAAUACUUUUUUCACAUUAUUAAUUGGAUCAGUCUGUAAUUUUAUGUAAAUUGAUAGCAAAAUGAUUAUAGCUGACAAAAUCAGGAAGUGUGUUGUUAACUUCCUGACUUCUUAUAUUUCAGAGAACGAAGAGUUGAACCAUUUAAC
This 239-nucleotide long non-coding RNA is filed under the name Homo sapiens (human). RNAcentral describes it as "non-protein coding lnc-OR2B2-1:1". Lineage: Eukaryota; Metazoa; Chordata; Mammalia; Primates; Hominidae. The record is from RNAcentral.